AGUGAACGCUGGCGGUAGGCCUAACACAUGCAAGUCGAACGGCAGCACAGUAAGAGCUUGCUCUUACGGGUGGCGAGUGGCGGACGGGUGAGGAAUACAUCGGAAUCUACUUUUUCGUGGGGGAUAACGUAGGGAAACUUACGCUAAUACCGCAUACGACCUACGGGUGAAAGCAGGGGAUCUUCGGACCUUGCGCGAUUGAAUGAGCCGAUGUCGGAUUAGCUAGUUGGCUGGGUAAAGGCCCACCAAGGCGACGAUCCGUAGCUGGUCUGAGAGGAUGAUCAGCCACACUGGAACUGAGACACGGUCCAGACUCCUACGGGAGGCAGCAGUGGGGAAUAUUGGACAAUGGGCGCAAGCCUGAUCCAGCCAUACCGCGUGGGUGAAGAAGGCCUUCGGGUUGUAAAGCCCUUUUGUUGGGAAAGAAAAGCAGCGGGUUAAUACCCCGCUGUUCUGACGGUACCCAAAGAAUAAGCACCGGCUAACUUCGUG
RNAcentral lists this ribosomal RNA (492 nucleotides) under uncultured bacterium. RNAcentral describes it as "partial 16S ribosomal RNA". It matches the Rfam family "Bacterial small subunit ribosomal RNA", at positions 29 to 507 of the family's 1533-position model. The record is from RNAcentral.